RNAcentral lists this ribosomal RNA (2118 nucleotides) under metagenome. RNAcentral describes it as "bacterial LSU rRNA". It matches the Rfam family "Bacterial large subunit ribosomal RNA", at positions 496 to 2641 of the family's 2925-position model. The record is from RNAcentral.
UAGUACUGUGAAGGAAAGGUGAAAAGGACCCCGGGAGGGGAGUGAAAAAGAACCUGAAACCAUAUGUUUACAAGCUGUGGAAGAGCUUUAUAUGCUCAACCGCGUACUUUUUGUAGAACGGUCCGGCGAGUUACGCUGGCUGGCGAGGUUAAGGACUGAAGGUCCGGAGCCGAAGGGAAACCAAGUCUGAAUAGGGCGCAUAGUCAGUCGGAGUAGACCCGAAACCGGGUGAUCUAUCCAUGUCCAGGUUGAAGUUGCCGUAAAAGGCAAUGGAGGACCGAACCCACAUCCGUUGAAAAGGGUGGGGAUGAGGUGUGGAUAGGGGAGAAAUUCCAAUCGAACCCGGAGAUAGCUGGUUCUCCUCGAAAUAGCUUUAGGGCUAGCCUCGUGUUAACCUUGUGGAGGUAGAGCACUGAAUAUCCUAGGGGGCGUCAAAGUCUACCGAAGAUUAUCAAACUCCGAAUGCCAUAGAGGUGAUGCACGGGAGUCAGACUGCACGAGAUAAGUUGGGUGGUCAAAAGGGAAAGAGCCCAGACCUACAGCUAAGGUCCCAAAGUGCGUGUUAAGUGGAAAAGGAUGUGGGAUUUCGAAGACAACUAGGAUGUUGGCUCAGAAGCAGCCAUACAUUCAAAGAGUGCGUAAUAGCUCACUAGUCGAGAGGUCCUGCGCCGAAAAUGUCCGGGGCUAAAACACGACACCGAAGCUUAGGACUCCUUUAAGGAGUGGUAGAGGAGCAUUGUUAGCGCAGCGAAGCUGUACCGAUAAGGAGCAGUGGAGUGCUAAGAAGAGAGAAUGCCGGAAUGAGUAGCGAGAGGAAGGUGAGAAUCCUUCCGGCCGAAUAUCUAAGGUUUCCAGAGUAAAGCUGAUCUGCUCUGGGUAAGUCGGGGCCUAAGGCGAGGUCGAAAGACGUAGUCGAUGGAUAACAGGUGGAGAUUCCUGUACUAUGUGUACCCAGAACUGUGGGGACGCAUGUGGAGAGCAUGAGCCGGGAAAGAAAAAACCGGUACAAGCGGGGUAGGAGUAAGGACAGCAAAUCUUCCUUACAAUCCGAAGACGUGAUGUGGACCGAACCAAAGUAGGGAAGCAUGUGAGCCAUGUGCCAAGAAAAGCCGCUAUUGUGAUACACAUACCCGUACCGUAAACCGACACAGGUGGAUGAGGAGAGAAUCCUAAGGCCGACGGAAGAAGCAUUGUUAAGGAACUCGGCAAAAUGACCCCGUAACUUCGGGAGAAGGGGUGCCCUGUGAAAGCAGGGCCGCAGAGAAUAGGCUCAAGCAACUGUUUAGCAAAAACACAGGUCUAUGCGAAACCGAAAGGUGAGGUAUAUGGGCUGACGCCUGCCCGGUGCUGGAAGGUUAAGAGGAGAAGUCAGGCAACGAAGCUUCGAAUUUAAGCCCCAGUAAACGGCGGCCGUAACUAUAACGGUCCUAAGGUAGCGAAAUUCCUUGUCGGGUAAGUUCCGACCCGCACGAAAGGCGUAAUGAUUUGGGCACUGUCUCAACAAUGCACCCGGUGAAAUUGAAAUACCAGUGAAGAUGCUGGUUACCUGCGCCAGGACGGAAAGACCCCAUGGAGCUUUACUCCAGCUUGAUACUGGGAUUCGAUACUGUAUGUACAGGAUAGGUGGGAGACGUUGAGCAUAGAACGCCAGUUUUAUGUGAGUCGCUGUUGGGAUACCACCCUUGCAGUAUUGGAUUUCUAACCUGCACCCAUGACCUGGGUGGGGGACAAUGUCUGGCGGGGAGUUUGACUGGGGCGGUCGCCUCCGAAAGGGUAUCGGAGGCGCUCAAAGGUUCCCUCAGAAUGGUUGGAAACCAUUCGAAGAGUGCAAAGGCAGAAGGGAGCUUGACUGCGACACCGACGGGUGGAGCAGGUACGAAAGUAGGACUUAGUGAUCCGGUGGUAUAAAGUGGGAUUGCCAUCGCUCAACGGAUAAAAGCUACCCUGGGGAUAACAGGCUUAUCACUCCCAAGAGUUCACAUCGACGGAGUGGUUUGGCACCUCGAUGUCGGCUCAUCGCAUCCUGGGGCUGUAGCAGGUCCCAAGGGUUGGGCUGUUCGCCCAUUAAAGCGGUACGCGAGCUGGGUUCAGAACGUCGUGAGACAGUUCGGUCCCUAU